RNAcentral lists this ribosomal RNA (488 nucleotides) under uncultured bacterium. RNAcentral's name for it is "bacterial SSU rRNA". It matches the Rfam family "Bacterial small subunit ribosomal RNA", at positions 30 to 507 of the family's 1533-position model. The record is from RNAcentral.
AUUGAACGCUGGCGGCAUGCCUUACACAUGCAAGUCGAAACGGCAGCACGGGUGCUUGCACCUGGUGGCGAGUGGCGAACGGGUGAGUAAUACAUCGGAACGUACCUUAUCGUGGGGGAUAACGCAGCGAAAGCUGUGCUAAUACCGCAUACGCCCUGAGGGGGAAAGCGGGGGAUCGCAAGACCUCGCGCGAGUGGAGCGGCCGAUAUCAGAUUAGCUAGUUGGUGGGGUAAAGGCCCACCAAGGCGACGAUCUGUAAGCUGGUCUGAGAGGACGACCAGCCACACUGGAACUGAGACACGGUCCAGACUCCUACGGGAGGCAGCAGUGGGGAAUUUUGGACAAUGGACGCAAGUCUGAUCCAGCCAUUCCGCGUGCAGGACGAAGGCCUUCGGGUUGUAAACUGCUUUUGUACAGAACGAAAAGGUCUCUAUUAAUACUAGGGGCUCAUGACGGUACUGUAAGAAUAAGCACCGGCUAACUACGUG